RNAcentral lists this ribosomal RNA (369 nucleotides) under uncultured Glomeromycotina. RNAcentral's name for it is "LSU rRNA". The record is from RNAcentral. Lineage: Eukaryota; Fungi; Glomeromycota.
UUGAAAGGGAAACGAUUGAAGUCAGUCGUGCUGGCGCGAAAUCAACCUUCUCGUCUUGAGAUCACAUGGCGUGGCGAGCCUCAAAACCGUCACGAAGCGUGAACUCUUGGUGAAAUGGAGCACUUUCGUGUCCGCUGGUUAACAUCAAUUUCGAACGUCAUAAAAAGGCUGGAGGGAUGUGGCUCCUUCGGGAGUGUUAUAACCUUUAGCGGAAUGUGGUGUUCGGGAUUGAGGAUUGCAACGAAUACCUUUAGGGCUGUUCCACCUGGCUUCUCUUUGGUAUCCUGGUGACGACAGCUUGCUGACGUCGUUAGGAUUCGCCUUUGAACAGGUUAGAGUGUGUGCAAAUUCGUUAAGGAUGUUGACGUA